AUUGAACGCUGGCGGCAUGCCUUACACAUGCAAGUCGAACGGUAACGGGCCUUCGGGUGCCGACGAGUGGCGAACGGGUGAGUAAUACAUCGGAACGUGCCCGAUCGUGGGGGAUAACGAGGCGAAAGCUUUGCUAAUACCGCAUACGAUCUACGGAUGAAAGCAGGGGACCGCAAGGCCUUGCGCGGACGGAGCGGCCGAUGGCAGAUUAGGUAGUUGGUGGGAUAAAAGCUUACCAAGCCGACGAUCUGUAGCUGGUCUGAGAGGAUGAUCAGCCACACUGGGACUGAGACACGGCCCAGACUCCUACGGGAGGCAGCAGUGGGGAAUUUUGGACAAUGGGCGCAAGCCUGAUCCAGCCAUGCCGCGUGCAGGAUGAAGGCCUUCGGGUUGUAAACUACUUUUGUACGGAACGAAAAGCCUUCUUUUAAUACAGGAGGGUCAUGACGGUACCGUAAGAAUAAGCACCGGCUAACUACGUG
Molecule: ribosomal RNA, 482 nt
Filed under: uncultured bacterium
Lineage: Bacteria
Description: partial 16S ribosomal RNA
Rfam family: Bacterial small subunit ribosomal RNA
Source: RNAcentral